This 253-nucleotide ribosomal RNA is filed under the name uncultured bacterium. Its description in RNAcentral is "partial 16S ribosomal RNA". It matches the Rfam family "Bacterial small subunit ribosomal RNA", at positions 524 to 776 of the family's 1533-position model. The record is from RNAcentral.
UACGGAGGGUGCAAGCGUUGUCCGGAUUUAUUGGGUUUAAAGGGUGCGUAGGCGGCUUUUUAAGUCAGUGGUGAAAUCCUGCAGCUUAACUGUAGGCGUGCCAUUGAUACUGGAAGGCUUGAGUACAGACGAGGUUGGCGGAAUUUAUGGUGUAGCGGUGAAAUGCAUAGAUACCAUAAAGAACACCGAUUGCGAAGGCAGCUAACUAGACUGUAACUGACGCUGAGGCACGAAAGUGCGGGGAUCGAACAGG